Dendrobium catenatum is the source of this 2391-nucleotide RNA transcript. It is a transcript of the gene named protein LTV1 homolog, with no coding region annotated. The record is from RefSeq and is a predicted model, not a curated record. The transcript has 6 exons. NCBI's taxonomy places the organism in Eukaryota, Viridiplantae, Streptophyta, Magnoliopsida, Asparagales, Orchidaceae.
AGGUUUUGCCUUUCCCUUCUCUUUUUCUUUCGGCUUCGUUCCUUCGCAGCAGUGUAGAGUUUUUCACGAGUUCUUCGUCGCUGUUCGACUUCGCUCCUUCGACGACGUUACCUUCCUGUUGGAGCGGAAGUUACGACAUUUUUUGUUCGGAAGCAACAAAGGGAGGUCGCUUUCUGUGAAGGUAAUUUUCUCACUUUCGCCCGCUUCUUCGGCCAAAUCCCGUGAAUCCGCCGAACCAAAGGAUUUCGUAAAUCCAGGAUUUACCACGAAAAGAGGGAAUUUUCCGUCAACCGGGGGCCGGGGCUUUGAUUUACCGUGAGAUUUGUUUUUGCAUUUUUGACCGUUUGGCUGGAUUUAACUCAAAUCCGGCCUAAAUCCUGCAUCCAAACAGCCCCUUAAAGUUGAUUUUUGCCAUUUCACAGUAUUUAGGUCGCCCUUAGCUAAAACCCUAACGACUAAAGCCACCCGCAACCUAGGGGCUCACAACAGCUUUCCGUGGAAGAUGGGCAAGAAGAAGAAGUCAUUCAUAGAUAAGAAGAAUUCCGCAACUUUCAAGCUUCUCGCUUGCGAUACUUCUACCUUCCCGGAAUCUGCCGCGGCUGCUGUUCCCCCGGUAACCGCCCGCGUAUUCGUCAGGGUUGAUAACAAUUCUGUUAACGUACGAGGCAUCUUCGAGGACGACAAUGGCAGAGACGAUCGUGCUGCCCCCGAGCCAGCAGGCCUGAAAGGAGAAGAUGACGUCGAUUCCAUAUUUGCCGAUGCGCCUGGCGACACCGAUGAUGAAGGGAGCUUCUCGCAGCCAUGGCCGAGUCAUGUUGCCCGCGGCUCGAGUGAUCGGACUUCCCAUUUUCUUCCGGAUGAAUUUAGAAAGGAAAUCCUGGAGCUUGGGUUGCCCGACGACGGCUAUAACUAUCUUCAGCAUCUUCGGGAGAUCAGCAACGCUGGCGCUGGCUCUGCUUACUAUCAGAACAGCAAGGCAAGAUUAGAUCUUGUGCCGCUUGAUGUUAAGGCCUUUGAUGCCAAGAGGCUAACAAUUAGUGGAGCUGAAUCAAAAAAGAAUUCAAUCUAUGCUGUUGCAUCUAAGGCGGUUGGUAUUAAGGUUCAGAAGGUUGUUGAUCCUGAUGUGUCGAGGUUGCUCGAGGAUAGCGAUCUGUCAAGGUUUGGGUCUGAUACCGAGGAAUUUGAGGAUGAUUUCGUGUUCAAGGCCAAUCUUCCUGAGGGAAAUGAGGGGGAAAGUGAAGAAGUUGAAGAAACUGAACCAGGAGCUGGUGAAGCUGAAAGGCAAAUGUGCUUGAUCAAAACUGAGCAGGAGGGUGAGUCUUUUGAUGAGGAUAGUGAAGAUGAGUUGGAUGAUGGUGACAAGCCUAGAAUUCACAGGCUUCUGGACGAACAGUUUGAUUUGCUCGCACUACAAGAGUAUGGUGAAACAUAUAGUGAUGAUGAUGGUUAUCUAGGAGAGGAAGGUGAGACAAUUGUUGCAAAGCUUCAUGAUGCUCUAAAGGAGUGCAAGGUGGAUGAUUUAGAAUUUGAAGAGCACUAUAGAGUUCCUGGGGAUUAUGUACAUAAACAAGAUGCACACGUGGGGAUCCCGUUGGAUGAUUCUACGGAUGUAAUUAGCAAGUGUAGAGAGUAUGCUGAUAAGUAUUGUGAUGAUGAUGAGGAUGAAGAACAGUUUAUCAUGGUUGAGGAAAGUAGUGAUGAAUUAGAAAUUUGGGACUGUGAGACUAUUGUGUCUACUUAUUCAAACCUUGACAACCAUCCUGGAACAAUAAAAACUCCAGAGAUUCUGAAAAGAAAAUUUGCAAAAAGCUUUCCAGUUGAUUCAAUUCGAAAGACUGAUAUGAUUGAACUUAGAGGAAAAGAGAAGCUUCCAGUGGAGUUUUUACCACAUGCCAAAAAGGAUCUUGAGAAGGUGAAGAAACCAGCUGGUUUUGAGAAGCAAAAGAUUAAACCACGUAGAGAGGAAUCAAAAGAUGAGAAAAAAGAACGCAAGGUAGCUGUGAAAGAGGAAAGGAGAGAAGCUAGACGUGCGAAGAAAGAACUUAAGGGUCUGUACCGAUGCGAAACCCAGAAGGCUCAGAAGGUUGCUGCCGUUUCAAUGCCAUCUGCUAUCCACCUUAUGUAACAUCCAUUUCGGCUUUUCCAUUCUAUGAGAAAUUGUCUCCAAGUUUUGGAUGAUGCAGAAGUUUUGCCAAAUAGUGGUUUGGCUCCCUUUUCAAUAUUUAUUUCUAUCAGCUCCUUUCAUUCUGUAUGGUUACUGUGAUCAAAGUCAAUUUUUUUUUAGAGAGAAAUGGAUAGUCCAUACAUUAGAUAAUUCUUAUUGUUGUUUAGAAUCUGUUUGGGAUAGCUGCAACUUUUUGUAUAUAUGAUUGUAAAAUUAUUGUGGACAAA